RNAcentral lists this ribosomal RNA (599 nucleotides) under uncultured bacterium. Its description in RNAcentral is "bacterial SSU rRNA". It matches the Rfam family "Bacterial small subunit ribosomal RNA", at positions 36 to 643 of the family's 1533-position model. The record is from RNAcentral.
CUGGCGGCGUGCCUAAUACAUGCAAGUCGAACGCGCUCCAUUCGGUAGCAAUACUGAUGAAGAGCGAGUGGCGAACGGGUGAGUAGCACGUGAGCAACCUGCCCCGAAGACUGGGACAACACCGGGAAACCGGUGCUAAUACCGGAUAUCCUUACCGGAUCACAUGAUCCAAUAAGGAAAUGGAUUCCGCUUCGGGAGGGGCUCGCGGCCUAUCAGCUUGUUGGUGGGGUAAUGGCCUACCAAGGCAUCGACGGGUAGCUGGUCUGAGAGGACGAUCAGCCACACUGGGACUGAGACACGGCCCAGACUCCUACGGGAGGCAGCAGUAGGGAAUCUUGCGCAAUGGGCGAAAGCCUGACGCAGCAACGCCGCGUGGAGGACGAAGGCUUUCUGAGUUGUAAACUCCUUUCAGCAGGGACGAUAGUGACGGUACCUGCAGAAGAAGCACCGGCCAACUACGUGCCAGCAGCCGCGGUGAUACGUAGGGUGCAAGCGUNGUCCGGAUUUAUUGGGCGUAAAGGGCUCGUAGGCGGUUUGAUAAGUCGGGUGUGAAACCUCCAGGCUCAACCUGNAGCCGCCACUCGAUACUGUCAUGACUA